AUAGCGUAUAUUAAAGUUGUUGCAGUUAAAACGCUCGUAGUCGAACUUCGGGCCUGGCGGGAUGGUCCGCCUUACGGUGUGUACUGUCCGGCCGGGCCUUACCUCUUGGUGAGACCUCAUGCACUUUAUUGGGUGUGGGGUGGAACCAGGAAUUUUACCUUGAGAAAAUUAGAGUGUUCAAAGCAGGCAAACGCCCGAAUACAUUAGCAUGGAAUAAUAGAAUAGGACGUGUGGUUCUAUUUUGUUGGUUUCUAGAGUCGUCGUAAUGAUUAAUAGGGAUAGUUGGGGGCAUUAGUAUUCAGUUGCUAGAGGUGAAAUUCUUGGAUUUACUGAAGACUAACUACUG
This 346-nucleotide ribosomal RNA is filed under the name uncultured eukaryote. Its description in RNAcentral is "SSU rRNA". It matches the Rfam family "Eukaryotic small subunit ribosomal RNA", at positions 594 to 945 of the family's 1831-position model. The record is from RNAcentral.